This 73-nucleotide transfer RNA is filed under the name Bos taurus (domestic cattle). The stretch from base 9 to 73 matches the Rfam family "tRNA". From Rfam's summary of the family: Transfer RNA (tRNA) molecules are approximately 80 nucleotides in length. The record is from Rfam by way of RNAcentral. RNAcentral also lists the same sequence under 5 other names. Lineage: Eukaryota; Metazoa; Chordata; Mammalia; Artiodactyla; Bovidae.
UCCCUGGCUUUCUGGUGGUUAAGACUCUGCAUUCUCACUGCAGAGGGCCCAGGUUCAAUCCCUGGUUGGGGAA